This 67-nucleotide transfer RNA is filed under the name bovine gut metagenome. It matches the Rfam family "tRNA". Rfam says of the family: Transfer RNA (tRNA) molecules are approximately 80 nucleotides in length. Their secondary structure includes four short double-helical elements and three loops (D, anti-codon, and T loops). The record is from RNAcentral.
GGACAUAAUUCAAUGGUAGAAUGACGGUCUCCAAAACCGUUCAUGAGGGUUCAACUCCUUCUGUCCC